RNAcentral lists this unclassified non-coding RNA (279 nucleotides) under Cercozoa sp. RNAcentral describes it as "partial contains small subunit ribosomal RNA, internal transcribed spacer 1, and 5.8S ribosomal RNA". The stretch from base 1 to 47 matches the Rfam family "Eukaryotic small subunit ribosomal RNA", at positions 1785 to 1831 of the family's 1831-position model. The record is from RNAcentral. Lineage: Eukaryota; Cercozoa.
AAAGUCGUAACAAGGUUUCCGUAGGUGAACCUGCGGAAGGAUCAUUAUCACGUAUCCACGUAUAAACCAUUGUGAACCGUUCUUUAACCUCCAGGAGCAUUGGAUGCGCGCGCAUGUAAAAGUGUGUGUUUGCAUCCAACGUAACUGGAGCGUAUUCAACCUAUUAACCAUUUUAACCAAUCUUUAUAACUUUAUGAACUAACUUUAUUUUAUACUCUUCGGAGAUAAAAUUCAUUACGAAACAAAGAACAACUCUUAGCAACGGAUAUCUUGGUUCUC